This 77-nucleotide transfer RNA is filed under the name Acidiphilium sp. 21-68-69. Its description in RNAcentral is "tRNA-Val". It matches the Rfam family "tRNA". From Rfam's summary of the family: Transfer RNA (tRNA) molecules are approximately 80 nucleotides in length. Their secondary structure includes four short double-helical elements and three loops (D, anti-codon, and T loops). Further hydrogen bonds mediate the characteristic L-shaped molecular structure. tRNAs have two regions of fundamental functional importance: the anti-codon, which is responsible for specific mRNA codon recognition, and the 3' end, to which the tRNAs corresponding amino acid is attached (by aminoacyl-tRNA synthetases). tRNAs cope with the degeneracy of the genetic code in two manners: having more than one tRNA (with a specific anti-codon) for a particular amino acid; and 'wobble' base-pairing, i.e. permitting non-standard base-pairing at the 3rd anti-codon position. Lineage: Bacteria; Pseudomonadati; Pseudomonadota; Alphaproteobacteria; Acetobacterales; Acidocellaceae. The record is from RNAcentral.
GGGUGCGUAGCUCACAGCGGGAGAGCAUCGCCUUCACACGGCGGGGGUCACAGGUUCAAUCCCUGUCGCACCCACCA